CCUACGGGGGGCAGCAGUGAGGAAUAUUGGUCAAUGGACGAGAGUCUGAACCAGCCAAGUAGCGUGAAGGAUGACUGCCCUAUGGGUUGUAAACUUCUUUUAUAUGGGAAUAAAACGUUCCACGUGUGGGAUUUUGUAGGUACCAUAUGAAUAAGGAUCGGCUAACUCCGUGCCAGCAGCCGCGGUAAUACGGAGGAUCCGAGCGUUAUCCGGAUUUAUUGGGUUUAAAGGGAGCGUAGGUGGAUUGUUAAGUCAGUUGUGAAAGUUUGCGGCUCAACCGUAAAAUUGCAGUUGAAACUGGCAGUCUUGAGUACAGUAGAGGUGGGCGGAUUUCGUGGUGUAGCGGUGAAAUGCUUAGAUAUCACGAAGAACUCCGAUUGCGAAGGCAGUUCACUGGACUGCAACUGACACUGAGGCUCGAAAGUGUGGGUAUCAAACAGGAUUAGAUACCCCAGUAGUC
This 460-nucleotide ribosomal RNA is filed under the name uncultured bacterium. RNAcentral's name for it is "partial 16S ribosomal RNA". It matches the Rfam family "Bacterial small subunit ribosomal RNA", at positions 338 to 795 of the family's 1533-position model. The record is from RNAcentral.